Molecule: long non-coding RNA, 5453 nt
Organism: Marmota monax (woodchuck)
Lineage: Eukaryota; Metazoa; Chordata; Mammalia; Rodentia; Sciuridae
Exons: 4
Source: RefSeq, a predicted model, not a curated record
GCUAGCAUGCAUGAGGACUUGGGUUCAAUCCCAGCACCAAAAAUAAAAUAAAAUAAACACUUUAAUACUUAAAAGAAUCCUCUUGUUGCAGUUAAGUGAGAAUAGAUGUUCUUUCUUUGAGAGAGAGAGAGAGAGAGAAUUUUAAUAUUUAUUUUUUAGUUUUCGGCGGACACAACAUCUUUGUUUGUAUGUGGUGCUGAGGAUCAAACCCGGGCCGCACACAUGCCAGUUCAGCUGAGGACUCAGAUAAGCACCACCUCCCAUCAUCAGAAGUGCCUAAGCAGUGAGGAAGAUCAGAGUCCAGGGAUGGAGCGACUACCCCACCAUGGCAGAGAGGCCAUGAAGAUUUGGGCAGAAGCCACAGAAAUAGUCACAGCUUUCUCCUUCCUGCAGUAACUCCUGAAUUUGAAUAGGAAUCAUUCCGGGUUGCUCCAUCAGUAGCUCUCACCAACUUCCAUCUUUCCAGUCUUUGUGAGCAUCGCAUUCCCAGGACAGUUCCCAGGGCGAACUACAUGACCACAUGAGGAGAACCAGGCUUCAGAAAGUGGGGAGCUCUACAACUAAGGCACAGUGUCUCUGGUUUAUUUCAAGUGAUGAAAUAGAAGAUGCCAUUAGAAGCCUACCAACCAAGAAAAGCCCAGGACUGGAUGGAUACACAGCUGAGUUCUACAAGACCUUUAAAGAAGAAUACCAAUACUCUUCAAAUUAUUUUGUGAAACAGAAAAAGAGGGAGCACUUCCACACUCAUUCAAUGAAGCCAGCAUCACCCUGAUUCCAAAUAGAGGCAAAGAAACAUCAAAGAAAGAAAACUUCAGACCAAUAUCGCUAAUGAACAUAGAUACAAAAAUUCUCAAUAAAAUUCUGGCAAAUCGAAUACAAAAACAUUUCAAAAAGAUUGUGCACCAUGAUCAAGUGGGGUUCAUACCAGGGAUGCAAAGUUGGUUCAACAUACAGAAAUCAAUAAAUGUAAUUCAUCACAUCAAUAGACUUAAAGAUAAGAAUCAUGUGAUCAUCUCAAUUGAUGUAGAAAAAGCAUUCAACAAAAUACAGCACCCCUUCAUGUUCAAAACACUAGAAAAACUAGGGAUAACAGGAACAUAUCUCAACAUGAUAAAAGCUAUCUAUGCUAAGCCCCAGGCCAACAUCGUUCUAAAUGGAGAAAAAUUGAAGGCAUUCCCUCUAAAACCUGGAACAAGACAGGGAUGCCCUUUUUCACCACUUCUAUUUAACAUAGUUCUUGAAACACUGGCCAGAGCAAUUAGACAGACAAAAGAAAUUAAAGGGAUACUGAUAGGUAAAAAAGAACUCAAAUUAGCACUAUUUGCCAAUGAUAUGAUUCUAUGUAUAGAAGACAAAAAAAAUUCCACCAAAAAACUUCUAGAACUAGUAAAUGAAUUCAGCAGAGUAGCAUGAUACAAAAUCAACACCCCAAAAUCAAAGGCAUUUCUGUACAUCAGCGACAAAUCCUCUGAAAGGGAAAAUAGGAAAACUACCCCAUUUACAAUAGCCUCAAAAAAAAAAACAAAACUGGGGAAUCAACUUAACAAGAGAUGAAAGAACUAUACAAUGAAAACAACAGAACACUAAAGAAAGAAAUUAAAGAAGACCUUAGAAGAUGGAAAGAUCUCCCUUGUUCUUGGAUAGGCAGAAUUAUUUCUGUGAAAAUGACCAAACUACCAAAAGCACUUUACAGAUUUAAUGCAAUUCCAAUCAAAAAUCCCAAUGAUAUUCCUCACAGAAAUAGAAAAAAAGUCAUAAAAUUCAUCUGGAAAAAUAAGAGACCCAGAAUAGCUAAAGCAAAUCCUUAGCAAAAAGAGUGAAGCAGGUGGCAUCACUAUACCAGACCUUAAACUAUUCUACAGAGCAAGAGUAACAAAAACAACAUGGUAUCGGCACCAAAAUAGAGUUGUAGACCAAUGGUACAGAAUGAAGGACACAAAGACAAACCCACAUAACUACAGUUAUCUUAUAUUAGACAAAGGUGCCAAAAACCUACAUUGGAGAAAAGAGAGUCUCUUCAACAAAUGGUGCUGGGAAAACUGGAAAUCCAUACGCAAAACAAAGUAAAAUUAAACCCCUAUCUAUCACCAUGCACAAAACUCAACUCAAAAUUGUUACUCAAUUUAUUCCAAUAAAACUUUACUGAACACUUACUAUGUGCCUGAAGUGUGGUGGGUGCUAAAAUAUACAUAAAUGAAUUAAUGUCUGGUCCAUACUAUCCCAGAACUGGAGGUGACACUUGAGAGAUAAAUAAUAACACAGUUAAAUAAAAAUAAUACACAAUAAUAUGGCAUAUGAGUAUGCAAUAAUUUGCAGACAAUAUUCACAAAUAGAAAUAAAAAUCAUUUUUCCUGGGGAGAGUGAGGGAAAUCUUCAUUGAGGAAGUGGUGGUUUUCUAGGACUUUGAAUUUUCCAGGUCAGUUGCAGGAGGCUAUCUGGCACAGGUGAAUUAAAAUUUAUAAGUGUGUGGAGGUUUCAAAAAUCAUUCAUGUGUGCACACUGUGUGAGCACAUCUAUAAUCAUUUUGAUAUUGCAAAAAAAUAAAAUGCAAGAUGGAACUGAGAACUGAUGGGAAAGGAUAUAGGAGAGCUGGAUAGGUGAUAAAAAGUCUUUGUGUUGCAAGCCAAGGGGCAUGGAGUUGAUUCUCUGAGUAAAGGGGAGUCCGUGAAGGGUUUUCAACUCCACAGCGGCUGGCUGGUUUUCCACAUAGGAAAAGAGCCUAUGAACAGUGUCGGAAAAAAAAAAAAAAUUAUGAGCAGAUGAGAGGACGAAGAGAAGGGUAAAUAGACUGAUGCAAGAGGCCAGAUAAACAAUAAUAAAAACUUCAUUAAAGACAAUAAUAGAGGCCCCAGGAGCAGCAGGUUCCGGUGCCGACUUGGCUACGUCCAAGAACCACAUCACCCACAACCAUUCCUGUAAAUUGCACAUAAAUGGCAUAAAGAAACUCCUAUCACAAAGAUAAGAAUCUCUUAAGGGGGUGGGCCCCAAGUCUUGAGGAACUUGUGUUUUGCCAAGCAGCACAAGAAGAAGGGCCUGAAGAGGAUACAACAAACAUCACCUGUUGAGGGCCACAGCCGAGUCGGGAUGACGCAUGGCAUUUUUGCCAGAAGUAGUGGUUGAGAGGUGACGCCAGCGAGUUCUCCUGGAGUUCCCUUGAGUUCCAGUUGAGCUCUUGCUGGGGGAUUCCCAGAGAGUUCCGAUUGGUUGGGGAAGUGCCGGAGGAGGGAUAUUUCCGGUUGCUGGUUCCUGGAGGAGCCCGUGGCUUCAGCAGAAUUCCCGGGGAGCCUGUGUGGAGUGUGCUGUUGGAGUUCAGAAAUAAAGUUUGUUCCUGCUUCAGUGGCUCGUGAUUUGUGCCCAGAAAGACUGCGGCAAUCACCAAGGCCAUGAAUGCAGGUACGAAGGGCGUCAAGGCACAGCGAAGCCCAAGGAAGUGAAGCCCAGAUUCCAAAGGGUGCAAGUCUCAAGCUCAAUCAACUUACUUACAUUCGCACCCCAAGCUCAAGAAGCGUGCUGGUACCCUGGUACCCUUUUCCCAGAGUAAUGGGCUCUAGAGCUAAAGGCCAAGGCUCAAAGCAAGGCCAGGCUUUGGCUUCAGUGUUCAAAAGUGCUCACGUCCCCAUGAAGUCCCCAUGGUAAAGGCCUCUGUUUGCCAACCUGAGGACAGGAGGACUGGUGUAACCCCUGGGCUGCUGUCUGCAUGGGAUUGGUGUCCUGUGUCAUUUGUAUAAAUAAAUAUGAGGCAGUGGGGAGGAAAGACAACAGUAAUAAAAGGUAGGUUGAAUGAAAUGAAGAGAUACUUACCUAGUAAAACUGGGCAAGUUCCAUGACAGGGGAUAUGUAACAGCUGGCUCCCAGCUUUUUGGCUUGAAUUACUAGGUUGAGAGUGGUGCCACUAAAUGGAGAUCCUGUUUAGGACAUACAGAGCCUGAAUCAGCACAGACUGUUGGUGUAGAAGACUAAAAAAAAAAAAAAAAAUGACCUGAAAGCAGCUGACCAGGCUGGGAGACAAGCUUUGAAUAAGCAGUUUCUGGAGAGCAGGGUCAGAUUGCAAUUUUUGAAGCAUGAGAUUAAAAUGAGGACACAGAGAUAGCAGUGCAGUAAUUGCCAAGAAAAGUGUUCCAGGCCCAGGGAAAUUGGAGCAUGCUUGUAAUAUACAGCUGGAGAGUCAGCCCCUCAAUAAAGGUAGAAAAUGCAGAAGUGAGGGGGGCUACUGCACACUGUUUGCCAGAUAUAUUUAAAUUUCUUUUUUUUCUUUUUCUUUUUAUUUAUAUAUGACAGCGGGAUGUAUUACAAUUCUUAUUACAGAUAUAGGAAAUUAAUAUUGGCAGAAAUGGUGCGGCUCUGCAUUGUGUGCAACCAGAGAAAUGAAAAGUUGUGCUCCAUUUGUGUACCAUGAAACAAAAUGCAUUCUGCUGUCAUGUAGAACUAAUUAGAAAAAAAAAUUUAAUUUAAAAAUGUUGAAAAACAAGAAAUUAAUAUUGUAUAUACUUUUGAAUUUGAUUUCAAAGUCAGGUCUGCAUUUAUUCAUAUUUAUAUCUGAUUACAAAGAAUGACAUUUGGGGGCCUUUACAACUAAUUUUUAUUCCCAACUUUGCCAUUUUUCAGACAAAAACAGGAACCGGAAAGCAGUGGCUGGGCAGGCUGUCUGUGGUGUGACGCACACUGCUGGCCCCCGACAGCUGUAGUAGAUGUUGUCUUGCUUCUCAUGAAACAGUCUUCUAACAUUGGAUCAAACAACCUUGAUUGUUUAAAGUGACAGUAAGUGUUAGAAUAAACCACAACAUCUAAAUCCGUUGGCAGUAACAACUCCACCCAAAGGUGGGUUCUAACAUAGUACCAGUGAACUGCAAUUGCAGGUACUGGGUGCCUCUUUAGUGUAAAAAUUAGGCUUUUUUUUUCUUUUGUGUGUAUGUGUGUGCAAGUUCUGUGUACAUAUGAGAGAAAAAUGUGCCAUUCAAACAUUUAAACAUACAUCUGGUUAUUCAGUUGGAGGUAAUAAAAGAUAAAUGUAAGCCCUUGGGUAGUUUCCUUCCUUAUACAUCAGAAGCAUAUCAACAUUGGCACAUGGUUAGGAAGUCUAUGUCAAUUUUAAAUUUAAAUUUAAAAUGACAUUAACAUAAAAAAGGGAACAGCCAUGGGAUAUACCUCCUGAGGGGAUGGUAGAGCAGGAAAGCAGAAAAUGCAUUCUCAUUCCAACUAUACACGGUUUUAAAUGAUCUGUAAAACUAAUUUGGAUUGUCAUUUAGGAGUCUACAUAAUGCUAGUAGAAUGUUGACUAUAUUUAACACAAAAUUAUUCCAUCACAAAUUUCACUCCUAGAUAAAUCAGCUUUACUUUACUGACUUGAAUUACAAAAUGUUAUUUAUAGAAAGUACAAACUGUUGCCAUAGUUCUUUUGGUGUUUAUUGAACGGUGAGAAAAUGUCUUUUGAAAAUAAACUCUCUCCAAAUUUC